GAGAACUCGGGAGAAGGAACUCGGCAAAUUGACACCGUAACUUCGGAAGAAGGUGUGCCUUUAGUAGGUGAAGUCCCUCGCGGAUGGAGCCCAAUGGGGUUGCAAAGAAUCGGUGGCUGCGACUGUUUAAUAAAAACACAGCACUCUGCAAACACGAAAGUGGACGUAUAGGGUGUGACGCCUGCCCGGUGCUGGAAGAUUAAGUGAUGGGGUGCAAGCUCUUGAUCGAAGCCCCAGUAAACGGCGGCCGUAACAAUAACGGUCCUAAGGUAGCGAAAUUCCUUGUCGGGUAAGUUCCGACCUGCACGAAUGGCGUAACGAUGGCCACACUGUCUCCUCCCGAGACUCAGCGAAGUUGAAAUGUUUGUGAUGAUGCAAUCUCCCCGCGGAAAGACGGAAAGACCCCAUGAACCUUUACUGUAGCUUUGUAUUGGACUUUGAACGGAUCUGUGUAGGAUAGGUGGGAGGCUUUGAAGCCGGGUCGCUAGAUCUGGUGGAGCCAACGUUGAAAUACCACCCUGGUGCGUUUGAGGUUCUAACCUAGGCCCGUUAUCCGGGCCGGGGACAGUGCAUGGUAGGCAGUUUGACUGGGGCGGUCUCCUCCCAAAGCGUAACGGAGGAGUUCGAAGGUACGCUAGUUACGGUCGGACAUCGUGACGAUAGUGCAAUGGCAUAAGCGUGCUUAACUGCGAGACUGACAAGUCGAGCAGAUGCGAAAGCAGGACAUAGUGAUCCGGUGGUUCUGUAUGGAAGGGCCAUCGCUCAACGGAUAAAAGGUACUCUGGGGAUAACAGGCUGAUACCGCCCAAGAGUUCAUAUCGACGGCGGUGUUUGGCACCUCGAUGUCGGCUCAUCUCAUCCCGGGGCUGUAGCCGGUCCCAAGGGUAUGGCUGUUCGCCAUUUAAAGAGGUACGUGAGCUGGGUUUAAAACGUCGUGAGACAGUUUGGUCCCUAUCUUCCGUGGGCGCUGCAGAUUUGAGGAAGCCUGCUCCUAGUACGAGAGGACCGGAGUGGACGCACCUCUGGUGUACCUGUUGUCACGCCAGUGGCAUUGCAGGGUAGCUAAGUGCGGAAGAGAUAACCGCUGAAAGCAUCUAAGCGGGAAACUCGUUUCAAGAUGAGAUCUGCCGGGGCCUUGAGCCCCCUGAAGAGUCGUUCUAGACCAGGACGUUGAUAGGUCAGGUGUGGAAGCGCAGUAAUGCGUUAAGCUAACUGAUACUAAUUGCUCGUGCGGCUUGACCG
This 1242-nucleotide ribosomal RNA is filed under the name metagenome. RNAcentral describes it as "bacterial LSU rRNA". It matches the Rfam family "Bacterial large subunit ribosomal RNA", at positions 1694 to 2925 of the family's 2925-position model. The record is from RNAcentral.